UAGGGAAUCUUCCGCAAUGGGCGAAAGCCUGACGGAGCAACGCCGCGUGAGUGAUGAAGGUCUUCGGAUCGUAAAACUCUGUUAUUAGGGAAGAACAAAUGUGUAAGUAACUAUGCACGUCUUGACGGUACCUAAUCAGAAAGCCACGGCUAACUACGUGCCAGCAGCCGCGGUAAUACGUAGGUGGCAAGCGUUAUCCGGAAUUAUUGGGCGUAAAGCGCGCGUAGGCGGUUUUUUAAGUCUGAUGUGAAAGCCCACGGCUCAACCGUGGAGGGUCAUUGGAAACUGGAACACUUGAGUGCAGAAGAGGAAAGUGGAAUUCCAUGUGUAGCGGUGACAUGCGCAGAGAUAUGGAGGAACACCAGUGGCGAAGGCGACUUUCUGGUCUGUAACUGACGCUGAUGUGCGAAAGCGUGGGGAUCAAACAGG
RNAcentral lists this ribosomal RNA (429 nucleotides) under Actinomycetes bacterium. Its description in RNAcentral is "Actinobacteria bacterium partial 16S ribosomal RNA". It matches the Rfam family "Bacterial small subunit ribosomal RNA", at positions 355 to 776 of the family's 1533-position model. Lineage: Bacteria; Bacillati; Actinomycetota; Actinomycetes. The record is from RNAcentral.